This 600-nucleotide long non-coding RNA is filed under the name Calidris pugnax (ruff). RNAcentral's name for it is "lncRNA (ENSCPUG00000013393.1)". Lineage: Eukaryota; Metazoa; Chordata; Aves; Charadriiformes; Scolopacidae. The record is from RNAcentral.
CCGUCUCCAUGCGGUACAGGCAGCGUGAUCAGAGCGCUAACACAACAGCCUGUGUAAUUACAUGUUUCUAGGAAGUGUGUUAGCUCCACGGGGAGCUGAGUCCAUUUGGAGAGGAGGAGGAGGAGGAAGAGACUUUCUUUUUUUUUGGGGGGUAGGUAAGGUGAAAAGGGUCAGCGGGUAGCCCGGCUCUGGCUCGAAUAUGAUAAAGGUAAUUGUGGCUCUCAAGUGAACGCCGGGUGCUCCCCGGUCCUGGCUCCUCUCCCUCCUUGCUCAUGUCUGUGCUAUGCAGGCGUCUGCUGUCAAAACCAGGAGAAGCAGGGCUGUGCGAGAAGAGAGAAGAGGUUUGACCCUGUUGGAAGCGUUAGCUCUGGGCUCUGUGGAUGCUUUGCCGUGACGGAGGGCCGAGGGCUGACCGAGUCGUGGGGAGGAUUUGUAUGUAGGAAGAGAGGAGAUGGCUGUGCAGCGUGCUCCCGAAUCUGCUCUGAGCCUGCUGAUGGUAAGUACUUGCUGAAAUCCGUUUGGGAAAGAGGGGGGUAGGGGGGAUCAGGGAGGGUGGGCGAGGGGAGCUGCACCACAGGGAUUCAGGGCACCAAAUCCACG